CCCUUAGAUGUUCUGGGCCGCACGCGCGCUACACUGGUGCGUUCAACAAGUCUUAACCUUGGCCGAUAGGUCUGGGUAAUCUUUGAACGCUGUUCGUGAUUGGGAUAGACCUUUGCAAUUAUGGGUCUUCAACGAGGAAUUCCUAGUAAACGCAAGUCAUCAGCUUGCAUUGAUUACGUCCCUGCCCUUUGUACACACCGCCCGUCGCACCUACCGAUUGAAUGGUCCGGUGAAAUCUCGGGACGGCGGCUUGGUCGCUUGCGUCCGACUGCUGAAACUUGAUUAAACCAUAUCAUUUAGAGGAAGGUGAAGUCGUAACA
RNAcentral lists this ribosomal RNA (320 nucleotides) under uncultured eukaryote. RNAcentral's name for it is "partial 18S ribosomal RNA". It matches the Rfam family "Eukaryotic small subunit ribosomal RNA", at positions 1470 to 1796 of the family's 1831-position model. The record is from RNAcentral.